GCUAGAUCGCGCGGCGUCUCGCUCGCGCGCGCACGCGUCUCUGUCUCUCUCUCUCUCUCUCUUAUCGUCCCGCCGCAUUCCAACGCUCUCCAUCGCAUCGGAGCAUCUCGCUCUCUUCGCUGGAUAUCCACCCGCUACGGUACGUUCCGUCCCUUUUUCUCUCUAUCCAAAGCAUUCGCGGUCUCUCGCUCGUGCCUACCGGAUAACUCCGCUUCUCUCCUUCCUUGUCCUCCCGCUGCUACGCGCUUCCUCUCUCCUUCCGACCCGAAUCUCUCGUCUCGCUCUCGAGGUAUCUCUCUCGCUCGCGCCUACAUCACGGAUAUGUCUUUUUUCCUCCCCUGUUCUCUCCCGCUGCUCCGAUGUGUCUCCCCUCUUCCUUUCGCUUUUGCCCUCUUUCUCCCGCUCGCGGCCCAGCAACUCGCGCCGUCUCUCUCGCCCGCUCGCGCGGUACCACGUCGCUGCCACCGCCGUCGCCGCCACCGCCACCACCACCAUCAUCGCCACCACCACCUCCCGACGACGACGAGGCCACCGACCGCCCCUCUCCGCGGCUCGAUAAACCGCCUCGACGCGCAUGCCCGCGUUUUCCCUUCCUUCCCCUUCCGCAUCCUCUCGUUUCCCAUAUGACCGUAACUCCAUCCUCGUCCCGUUCUCGCCGCCUGACGACCCAGCCUGUCCGCUCGCUCGCUCAUCUCGCUGGAGAACCGGCAAUGGAGUUAGGUUAGGUUAGAUUUGGUCGCGCAUCGCCUGCUGACUAUCACGCUCGCCUCGCCGUUUGCGCGGGCGGAGGGGCUCGGUCGCUCGUCCUCUCUUUCUCUCUCCUUCUCGCCGCCGCGUCGUGGCAUCUUUCUCGGGCAUCUCUCGCGAUCUUCUUCCUUCCGCCACUACCAACACCACGAAGGAGAGAGAACUUGGCGUGUGCGCGCACUGUACGUCGCGGAGUAAUCUUGUUUCACCGCGCGCGCGAAAAAGAGCGCAAACAAAAACGAGAGAAAAAGUGAGAGAGAGAGAGAGAGAGAGAGAAAGAGUGAUAAAGUCCGAAAGCGAGAACAUAGCGAAGAAUGCGCGCGUGAAGAAGGGAAAUUCUUUAUACCGAUGCCGAGAUGGUUUAAGCGCGCAGCGGGAAAAAAGAUUCUCGUAGACAGAUUUUAUAUUCGCGCGUGGAGAGAUGUCGCGAGGUCUGAGUGCGUUCGAAAUCGAAUUCGAUUCGAUUCCGAUGCUCCGCUCGAUGAACGAACGCGACACUCGACCGAAUUCCGGCGAGUCGCUUUAUUGACUCCGAAAUUCGAUCGGAUAAUUCGCGCGCUCUCGGAUUUCCUGCAACUGUCCUCCCCGCACGAAACCGUGUUGUCGGCGGGGGGAGGAGGGGGCAUAUACGCGAAACGCGCGACGUAACGUCGCGUCGACAUUGUUAGAUCUCUCUAUCCGCUCUGUAAUCUCGCUCUGCGGUAUUCGCGUGUGGUUUAACGCGGCGCUUCGAAAAACCUUCCGAUUCACAUCCGAUCCUCGCUGGAAUAUCAUCUCCAACGCUUGAUUGGUUCAAUGAAAUCUUCUCUCGCAAACGCGAUAUAUAGAACGACCGAGCGAAACAUUAAUGUCUUUAGUUUGAAAGUAUUUGAGAAUACGAAGAAGGGAGCUUCCUCUUUAAAUGAUGAAAAAUCCGCGGACAAGAAGCGGUGGGAUCAAAAUUGUGUCAACAACAAAUAUUGAAGGCAAGUGGCACUCAAUCAACGAGUCCCAGAGACUACCAGCUAUUACGGACCCGAUUCUACUGGCUAACUGAAGCGCAAAAUCGGGAUUGACGGACUAAUCGGCAGAAGCUCUGCGCACACGAGAGAUAUCUCGAUGAUAAUCGAUCCAAGGACAAGGGAAAUCAAUCGAAACGUAAGAUGCCACCCCUCUCUCGUGCAAAUUAGAUCUGUCAAGGAAAUCAUAUAUCGCGUAUACACGCACACAUACGACACGCGCGCUAUCGAUACGCCAGGGGGUGGAAGUAACACGACGGCGCAGGAGAUUCGACAUAUCCGUUAAUCCGUCCGGCUUAAUGCGCGUUCGAGGACCAGGAGGAUACAGGAAUCGGGGGAUACGUCCAAAGGCGGUGUGAGACCCGCUUUCCCGCUGACCAUUGGGGUGAGCAGGCAAGCCGCUGCUAUUAAUGGUAAAUAGACGAGACGUUGAUAAGAUGGAAACUAAUUAGAUCGUGGAGGAUGUCGGCGAUGUUUAAAAUUCAUGUAGCUAUUGACCUUAGAGAGGAGGAGUUCAAAGAGCAGUGAUUACUGGUGUUAAGAGCUACGGAUGGAAUGUAUAAAAUACGAGCUAUAUACGUUGUGACGACUUCAGGCGCAUGACUGAGCAUAAUAAAAUAUAUAUCUAUAGAAUCAUAUGUAUAUCAGUUUAUAAUUUUAGUAAUUUUCCAUCGUAUAAUCUCUUUCGAACAAACUGCCACA
This 2447-nucleotide long non-coding RNA is filed under the name Camponotus floridanus (Florida carpenter ant). RNAcentral describes it as "uncharacterized LOC105257279". Lineage: Eukaryota; Metazoa; Arthropoda; Insecta; Hymenoptera; Formicidae. The record is from RNAcentral.